CUACCUGUUUGUCAAUGAUGAUCCUGUCUGAUCAUAAAAGCUAAGCAAGGCCAGGCCUGGUUCGUACUUGGAUAUGAGGCCACUGGGAAUACCAGGU
This 97-nucleotide ribosomal RNA is filed under the name Periophthalmus magnuspinnatus. The record is from RNAcentral. Lineage: Eukaryota; Metazoa; Chordata; Actinopteri; Gobiiformes; Gobiidae.